RNAcentral lists this long non-coding RNA (1366 nucleotides) under Oreochromis niloticus (Nile tilapia). RNAcentral's name for it is "lncRNA (ENSONIG00000026744.2)". The record is from RNAcentral. Lineage: Eukaryota; Metazoa; Chordata; Actinopteri; Cichliformes; Cichlidae.
UUGCAGAUGUUUCGCUUAAAAAUGCAUCGCGUCAAGAAGAAUGCAGCAAGAAAAGAGGAGCUUUUAGUGCAUUAUCUGUGAUACCAAUUACCUUUUCAAUGUUGUUUUCACCAGGGUGACUGCAGAUGAAUGGUACAAUGUGUGCUCUUUUUCUCAGCCCUGUCAAAACAAGGAGCUGCAAUCUCACCACAAGAGGGGGCUUCAUCCACACCUUUUAUCUCACUGGGAUUAGGCCUUGCCUGGCAGCAUGGAGAGUCACUGCCGUUCUGCCCACUUUCUUGCAAUCGGGAGCUGCUGUCCAUCUCUCACAGCAUCCCCAGACGGGAAAGGGAACCGCCCAGACUGCUGGUGCCAGGGUGAUAUCAUCUGAUAAUCAACCUCAAACAUGGGCUCCGAGCCACACAGUGCAUUUUCAUAUAGUGAAAGGUCUUCAUCCUUCACUCUCGCUUUUAUAUCGAGGGUUUUUUUCUGCAAAUAUUGAUCCCGGAGAUUGAGUGAAAUUGGUGUGUCAUAUAAAAAGGGAACUUGUUAGCGCUAUAUAUAUCUGAAUGGGUGCCAAGUAAAGGCUUAUUAACUAGAAUCCCUGUUUCUUUAACCGUAAACCAGAAUGUUAUUAAUUUAAUUUAAUUAUUUAUUUAUUUUUAAUUGAGGCAGCCCAUUAGUUGUAGCAUGUAUUAUGAAUAUCAGCUGUCAUUCUACAUGUGCUUGAGCGCUCUCAAGUACAUGUAGAAUGAUAUGAGGAGCACUGGCAUCGCUCCAGAGCUCCUCUAGACAGCAAACAUCAACAUGAGAGACAAGCUGGACUUGUACUUAAUCAUUUCAAUUAUCAUAAUAAUUAUUUAAAGUGUUGUAACUUAAAAAUUGGCUUUUUGUGAAUGAUUGUUACUAUCUAUGUCGGUGUGAAAAGGUAAAACCCCACAAAAGUAGACAUCAUAACUUUUAGAAGCCAUUGAUGGUACAUGGUGCUAUAAAUGAAAGUGAAAAAAAAAACUGUCUCAUUUGUCAAAGUUUGCUUCAUAAAUGAAAAAGUGGCUGAGUUGUACAGAGCCGCCUACUUUCCACAGCCAUUCAUCGCUAAAAGUGUGACUGAGGGGGCCAUGUGCUCUGUCCCCCACCCCCAGUUCUCACUGCCACUCAGCCCAUAUGUGCAUUCGAGUGGCAGCUGCAAACUCCUUCCUCCCUUCUCACUUGCCCUCUGAUAAAAAAAAAAGAAAGAAAGAAAGUGAAAAACAGCUCUGCGUGCACAUAGGAGAGCUUCUCUGGUCAGCAUGUGUCUGACAGCUACUGUGAGCAUCAGGAAGACACACAAAGCUCGAGAAAAGGCCUUUUCCUAUCCAAAAACAACAAACCUAUUAUUUACAAGGCC